GAUGAACGCUGGCGGCGUGCCUAAUACAUGCAAGUCGAGCGAACAGAUGAGGAGCUUGCUCCUCUGACGUUAGCGGCGGACGGGUGAGUAACACGUGGAUAACCUACCUAUAAGACUGGGAUAACUUCGGGAAACCGGAGCUAAUACCGGAUAAUAUAUUGAACCGCAUGGUUCAAUAGUGAAAGACGGUUUUGCUGUCACUUAUAGAUGGAUCCUCGCCGCAUUAGCUAGUUGGUAAGGUAACGGCUUACCAAGGCAACGAUGCGUAGCCGACCUGAGAGGGUGAUCAGCCACACUGGAACUGAGACACGGUCCAGACUCCUACGGGAGGCAGCAGUAGGGAAUCUUGCGCAAAGGGCGAAAGCUUGACGCAGCAACGCCGCGUGAGUGAUGAAGGUCUUCGGAUCGUAAAACUCUGUUAUUAGGGAAGAACAAAUGUGUAAGUAACUAUGCACGUCUUGACGGUACCUAAUCAGAAAGCCACGGCUAACUACGUG
This 497-nucleotide ribosomal RNA is filed under the name uncultured bacterium. RNAcentral's name for it is "partial 16S ribosomal RNA". It matches the Rfam family "Bacterial small subunit ribosomal RNA", at positions 28 to 507 of the family's 1533-position model. The record is from RNAcentral.